UAUGAGUUGCAGCAUAUGCAGC
This 22-nucleotide non-coding RNA is filed under the name Arabidopsis thaliana (thale cress). Lineage: Eukaryota; Viridiplantae; Streptophyta; Magnoliopsida; Brassicales; Brassicaceae. The record is from RNAcentral.